Molecule: ribosomal RNA, 246 nt
Filed under: uncultured bacterium
Lineage: Bacteria
Description: partial 16S ribosomal RNA
Rfam family: Bacterial small subunit ribosomal RNA
Source: RNAcentral
AGAUGCGACCGGCGCACGGGUGAGUAACACGUAUCCAACCUGCCGAUAACUCGGGGAUAGCCUUUCGAAAGAAAGAUUAGUACCCGAUGGUAUAAUCAGACCGCAUGGUCUUGUUAUUAAAGAAUUUCGGUUAUCGAUGGGGAUGCGUUCCAUUAGGCAGUUGGUGAGGUAACGGCUCACCAAACCUUCGAUGGAUAGGGGUUCUGAGAGGAAGGUCCCCCACAUUGGAACUGAGACACGGUCCAA